AUCCAGCUAACGUGUCCCAAAUAGGACGAAACGUGCAUCCUGGAU
RNAcentral lists this non-coding RNA (45 nucleotides) under Schistosoma margrebowiei. The record is from RNAcentral. Lineage: Eukaryota; Metazoa; Platyhelminthes; Trematoda; Strigeidida; Schistosomatidae.